GGAAUCUUCCACAAUGGGCGCAAGCCUGAUGGAGCAACACCGCGUGAGUGAAGAAGGGUUUCGGCUCGUAAAGCUCUGUUGUUAGAGAAGAACGUGCGUGAGAGCAACUGUUCACGCAGUGACGGUAUCUAACCAGAAAGUCACGGCUAACUACGUGCCAGCAGCCGCGGUAAUACGGAAGGUCCGGGCGUUAUCCGGAUUUAUUGGGUUUAAAGGGAGCGCAGGCUGAUUGUUAAGCGUGACGUGAAAUGUAGCCGCUCAACGGCUGAACUGCGUCGCGAACUGGCAGUCUUGAGUGAGUACGACGUCAGCGGAAUUCGUGGUGUAGCGGUGAAAUGCUUAGAUAUCACGAAGAACCCCGAUUGCGAAGGCAGCUGACGAGUCCUUUACUGACGCUAAAGCUCGAAGGUGCGGGUAUCGAACA
This 424-nucleotide ribosomal RNA is filed under the name uncultured bacterium. RNAcentral describes it as "bacterial SSU rRNA". It matches the Rfam family "Bacterial small subunit ribosomal RNA", at positions 358 to 774 of the family's 1533-position model. The record is from RNAcentral.